GGGCCUGUGGCUCAGUGGGAGAGAAUUUGCUUUGCACGCAGAAGGUCUUUGGUUCAUUCCCUAAUAUAACCG
This 72-nucleotide transfer RNA is filed under the name Sphaerodactylus townsendi. RNAcentral describes it as "tRNA-Ala". It matches the Rfam family "tRNA". From Rfam's summary of the family: Transfer RNA (tRNA) molecules are approximately 80 nucleotides in length. Lineage: Eukaryota; Metazoa; Chordata; Lepidosauria; Squamata; Sphaerodactylidae. The record is from RNAcentral.